CUCAUUGAUGUGCAGUGGACCCCCAUUCAAUGAUGACAAUAUACUUAACACAUAAGGGUAAGAAAAGUCUCUAUGACUCAUACAAUGAAAUUUUCCAGAGAGACCUGAGUAGCAUGCAAGAAAGUCUAAGAGUGAUUGGAGAGACACAAGAGGACCACUGGCUUUGGCUUUUAUUGUGAAUAGGCAGUGUUUCCACUGGCCAUGGCUUGUGUGGCUUGAACUUAUUAGCUUGUUCAAAUGUGGGGCAAGAGAGAGAAAGUGAUGGGUGGGCUUUAAAGCUGUUAGCAGUUUUCACACAUUAAAUUAGCAGUAUUAAUGGAAAAGGAAAAUUCUCACUGGCAAAAAGGCAUUAGUUGUAUAUAAAAUUUCUGAAUUAAAUAUCCAAAUGCAAAUAAAUCACAGUGAUUGAUAAGAUGUCUAUGUAAAAGCUACUAAAAAUGAAGCACUGUUAUUAAUAUAUAUUCUAGUUUGAUUGAAACAGUUCACUGAGAAAAGCAAAUGUACUAUUACAAUUCAUGCUCAGUUUAUUUUUGGCUUUCUUUGACUUUUUGACUACUAUCAUCUUACUAUGUGUUCCUAUAACAAGAAAUCAUUGAUGGGAUAACCUACUCCCAAUUUUAUGAUUUUAAUUGUUGAUAUAUUUUGAUAUUUUUAGUAAAAGAUAGACCUACAUAAAAUAUUACAUAUGAAAGGAUCAUUAUAAUAAAUAAAUAUACUUUCUAUACAAUAUCCAUAAAUAAAAAGGGUAAAUUUCAGGCAAAGAGUCCCUUUAUUUAGUAUUCAGAAAAUUCAUUUAUGUGGAUCUUAUAUUGCAAACAAAUUCUGAGCAAUUUUAUCUUAAUCACACUCUCCACUGAAAAAUAAAGUUCUACUAUUUAAUAUUUCUUAGAUAUUUUAAUUUAGUGAUAAUUGAAUAAUAAGCUGUACAAAAAUUCUUAAACAGUUGCUAUGCUACUAUACUUUUCAUAUUUUGUUAGAAAAUUACUUCGCUUUUUAAUGACAAACUUGUAGUAAAGUUUAAAACCAUAAACAUUUUAUGUUUGUAUAUGAAUGCAAGCAGUUGGAAGAGAAAUACUUUUAUAUUUUUGUUAAAAAAUUCAUUAGACUUUUUUUUUGGCCAUGCCAAUCACAUGCGGAAGUUCCAGGCCAGGGAUCAAACCCAAGCCACAGCAGUGACAACACUAAAUCCUUAUCCGCUAGUUCACUAGGAGAAUUUUCAUUAGGGUUUUUAAUGUCUUAAAUGUGUAGGAAAAGUUUAGAACCACAAGCUCUUUAUGUUCAUAUGUUAAUGCAAAUAAUUGGAAGAUAAAUACUUAUCACUUAACCCUAUAUUUUACACUGUAUAUUUUUACACAAGAAAACUUUAUGUUUACUUUAAUCAUUUCCUCUCUAAUCUCAAAAAAAAAAAAAAAUUGGUCCAUUUGAAGUGAAGCUAAUGCAUUUGGAGUAUUCAAACACAGAAUUGAGGUAAAAGACUUAACCUUAAAAGGAAUAAAUUUGGCUGUGUUUUAUCUAAAGUAGAAUAUACUGCAAUAACAAAUAGACCUAAAUAGUAUAGGCACUAAAUGCGGUAAAGUACAUUUCCACUCAAUUAAUAUUCCUAGUACAGGACAGCAAGUGGGCUUUCUCCUACUGGAGGUUCAGUUCCUGAGGCUCUUUCCAUUUUAUGGUUCUGUCUCCACUGAUUACCUUGUUUUCAGGUUCGUCUACUCAGAGAAAGGAAGAGAAGACUUAGAGGAGGUAUAGCUUCUUUAAGGCAUCGGACUGGAUAUCUCAUACAAGAUGAAGCCAUUCUCUUGACUAGGACUUUGCAGCAAUGUCAAACACAACAUCUGAAAGUUUCCUGGAUUGUCAACUGUUGCAGAUGACACACAGCCAGCAUGGGGGUUACUGAUUUGAGAAGUCUCCCCUGAUGUACUGAGGACAGAGACGACUAUGCUGCCCUUUUUAGGGUCCUACAGUGGAAGUUGUCACAGAGGAGAGAGAUCGAGUUCAACUCCCCUACUACAAAUCCCCACAGCAAUAUUCUGCUCGAAUAAAGUCUGAGUUAUACUCUUUAACAAAUAUCAGAAUAUUUUUUCGUUAACAAGGUUGAUAGCCACAAAGACAGCAAUAAAUGAGAAUGAGUUUAAGAAAGUUCUUUUAACCAGAAUAUUUGUAAUAAAAUAUCUCCCAUUGAAACACCUUAUUUCAAUAAACCACCUUUUCAGACAUGUGCAAAUAACACCUUAGCAAACUCAAUUUCCUUUGGGGAGGGAAAAAAAAGGAAUUUUGAAGAUGAAAAUAUGUGAUGUUUCCAUGAUUUAAAAAUGUUCAAUAUAUCUAAGAAUUCAGGUUGAGAAGUGGAUAAUUUGGUCAGGUAUUUUUUGCUUCUUGUUGAAACUUUUAACAUAGAAUGACCAGUCUAGAUAAACAAAACGGAACAGUCUUAAUUAAACUUAGAAGUUAAUUAAGGACUUAAUUAAACUUAAAAGUUUCUGCACAGCAAAGGAAACCCUAAACAAAACAAAAAGACAACCCACAGAAUGGGAGAAAAUACUUGCAAAUGAAGUGACUGACGAGGAAAUAAUCCCCAAAAUUUAUAAACACCUUCUGCAGCUCAAUACCAAAAAAACAAAAAACCCCAUCAAAAAAUGGGCAAAAAACCUAAAUGGAAAUAGACAAUUCCCCAAAGAAGACAUACAGAUGGCCAAAAAACACAUGAAAAGAUGUUCAACAUCACUAAUUAUUAGAGAAAUGCAAAUCAAAACCCCUAUGAGGUACCACAUUACACCAGCCAGAAUGACCAUCAUCAAAAAGUCUACAAAUAAUUAGUGCUGGAGAGGCUAUGGAAAAUUGGAGGGAAUGUAAAUUGGUGCAACCACUCUGCAAAACAGUAUGGAGAUUCCUCAGAAAACCAAAAACAGAAUUACCAUUUGAUCUAGCAGUCCCACUCCUGGGCAUCUAUCCAGAGAAUACCAUGACUUGAAAAGACACAUGUACUCCACUGUUCACUGCAGCACUAUAUACAAUAUCCAAGACAUGGAAACAACCUAAAUGUGCAUUGACAGAGACGUGCAUAAAGAAGAUAUGGUACAUAUACACAAUGGAAUAUUACUCAGCCAUUAAAAGGAAAGAAAUAACCACAUUUGCAGCAACAUGGAUGGACCUAGAAAUUAUCAUGGUAAGUGAAGUCAUUCAGACAGCAAGACACCAACAUCAUAUCUAUCACUUCAUGUGAAAUCUAAAAACAAGGACACAGUGAACUUCUUUGCAGAACAGAUACUGACUCACAGACUUUUAAAAACUAGUGGUUUCCAAAUGAACCUGUUUGGGGGGUGGGGAGAUGCACUGGGGGUUUGGGAUGGAAAUGCUGUAAAAUUUGGUUGUGAUGAUCAUUGUCAACUAUAAAUGCAAUAAAAUGCAUUGAG
RNAcentral lists this long non-coding RNA (3410 nucleotides) under Sus scrofa (pig). RNAcentral describes it as "lncRNA (ENSSSCG00000062587.1)". Lineage: Eukaryota; Metazoa; Chordata; Mammalia; Artiodactyla; Suidae. The record is from RNAcentral.